AUGCAAGAACUAGUGGGACAACAACAAGAAGAGAUUCAAAAGCUGAUGCAAGAGGUUGCCAACAGAGAGCAAUAUGAGUUGGAAUUGGCUAAUAUGGAUAUGGAAGAUUAUGAGAAAGAAAAUCAAACAGGGAAAGAGGAAUCUGGGUCUGGGAACUACAAUGAACUAACUGACUAUAAUGCUAGUCAGGAAUCAGUGGGUACCCUGGGUGAAAAGAUGGCUGGCAUUCAUGGAGUUGAGAUCCUGGAGAAGGGUGGAGAGGAGAAAGAAGCAGAGUUAGAAAGAAGCCUCGGAAACAAAGGGAAAGAGGAUCAGGAAGUAGAAGAGAUGGCAAAGAUCAGAGGAGAGGAAAGAGACAAUUAUGAUAAAGGAGCCGCCAAAAAGGGUGCUGGAGUUGGGGGCAAGAGUGCUAGAGCGAGUAGCAAGUGA
RNAcentral lists this ribosomal RNA (429 nucleotides) under Triticum aestivum (bread wheat). Its description in RNAcentral is "partial small subunit ribosomal RNA". Lineage: Eukaryota; Viridiplantae; Streptophyta; Magnoliopsida; Poales; Poaceae. The record is from RNAcentral.